Molecule: ribosomal RNA, 417 nt
Filed under: uncultured beta proteobacterium
Lineage: Bacteria; Pseudomonadati; Pseudomonadota; Betaproteobacteria
Description: bacterial SSU rRNA
Rfam family: Bacterial small subunit ribosomal RNA
Source: RNAcentral
GAGUUUGAUCUUGGCUCAGAUUGAACGCUGGCGGCAUGCUUUACACAUGCAAGUCGAACGGUAACAGUGUCUUCGGACAGCUGACGAGUGGCGAACGGGUGAGUAAUGCAUCGGAACGUGCCUAUAAGUGGGGGAUAGCCCGGCGAAAGCCGGAUUAAUACCGCAUAAUACCUGAGGGUUAAAGCGGGGGAUCUUAGGACCUCGCGCUAAUAGAGCGGCCGAUGUUCGAUUAGCUAGUUGGUAGGGUAAAGGCCUACCAAGGCGACAAUCGAUAGCUGGUCUGAGAGGAUGAUCAGCCACACUGGGACUGAGACACGGCCCAGACUCCUACGGGAGGCAGCAGUGGGGAAUUUUGGACAAUGGGGGCAACCCUGAUCCAGCCAUGCCGCGUGAGUGAAGAAGGCCUUCGGUUGUAAG